This 376-nucleotide unclassified non-coding RNA is filed under the name uncultured Pseudomonadota bacterium. Its description in RNAcentral is "uncultured proteobacterium contains 16S-23S intergenic spacer region". Lineage: Bacteria; Pseudomonadati; Pseudomonadota. The record is from RNAcentral.
UCCGGUUUGUCACCGGCAGUCCCAUUAGAGUGCCCAACUAAAUGUGGCAACUAAUGGCAAGGGUUGCGCUCGUUGCGGGACUUAACCCAACAUCUCACGACACGAGCUGACGACAGCCAUGCAGCACCUGUGCGCCGGUUCUCUUUCGAGCACACCCGCCUUUCAGCAGGCUUCCGACCAUGUCAAGGGUAGGUAAGGUUUUUCGCGUUGCAUCGAAUUAAUCCACAUCAUCCACCGCUUGUGCGGGUCCCCGUCAAUUCCUUUGAGUUUUAAUCUUGCGACCGUACUCCCCAGGCGGGAGGCUUAAUGCGUUAGCUGCGCCACUGAACAGCAAGCUGUCCAACGGCUAGCCUCCAUAGUUUACGGCGUGGACUAC